This 445-nucleotide ribosomal RNA is filed under the name uncultured bacterium. RNAcentral's name for it is "partial 16S ribosomal RNA". It matches the Rfam family "Bacterial small subunit ribosomal RNA", at positions 339 to 795 of the family's 1533-position model. The record is from RNAcentral.
CUACGGGCGGCUCCAGUGGGGAAUAUUGCACAAUGGGCGCAAGCCUGAUGCAGCAACGCCGCGUGAGGGACGACGGCCUUCGGGUUGUAAACCUCUUUUAGCAGGGAAGAAGCGAAAGUGACGGUACCUGCAGAAAAAGCACCGGCUAACUACGUGCCAGCAGCCGCGGUGAAUACGUAGGGUGCAAGCGUUGUCCGGAAUUAUUGGGCGUAAAGAGCUCGUAGGCGGUUUGUCGCGUCUGCUGUGAAAAUCCGAGGCUCAACCUCGGACCUGCAGUGGGUACGGGCAAACUAGAGUGCGGUAGGGGAGAUUGGAAUUCCUGGUGUAGCGGUGGAAUGCGCAGAUAUCAGGAGGAACACCAAUGGCGAAGGCAGAUCUCUGGGCCGUAACUGACGCUGAGGAGCGAAAGCGUGGGGAGCGAACAGGAUUAGAUACCCGCGUAGUC